GAAUAUUGCACAAUGGGCGAAAGCCUGAUGCAGCAACGCCGCGUGCGGGAAGAAGGCCCUAGGGUUGGAAACCGCUUUCAGCAUGGAAGAAAAUGACGGUACCUGCAGAAGAAGGUGCGGCCAACUACGUGCCAGCAGCCGCGGUGACACGUAGGCACCAAGCGUUGUCCGGAUUUAUUGGGCGUAAAGAGCUCGUAGGCGGUUCAGUAAGUCGGGUGUGAAAACUCUGGGCUCAACCCAGAGACGCCACCCGAUACUGCUGUGACUUGAGUACGGUAGGGGAGUGGGGAAUUCCUGGUGUAGCGGUGAAAUGCGCAGAUAUCAGGAGGAACACCAGUGGCGAAGGCGCCACUCUGGGCCGUAACUGACGCUGAGGAGCGAAAGCGUGGGGAGCAAACAGG
RNAcentral lists this ribosomal RNA (401 nucleotides) under uncultured bacterium. RNAcentral's name for it is "bacterial SSU rRNA". It matches the Rfam family "Bacterial small subunit ribosomal RNA", at positions 359 to 776 of the family's 1533-position model. The record is from RNAcentral.